UCAUACUCUAUCCGCGCGUUCGUGGACAUCGGAAAAACAUUUUUCCGAGUUAAAACGUCACCAUUCAUGCGACUUCCUGUGGGAAUCAGAGGUGGAAAACUAAAGAUUUUGUUUCCCAGUUGGUGACAUGUUGCUGACAAUUGAUGUCUGAUGUAGGUGACUUUGGUUCACUGAAACAAUUUCAAUGACAAUAAACUGUUUAUGGUGGACAAAUGCCU
Long non-coding RNA from Etheostoma cragini (Arkansas darter), 218 nucleotides. RefSeq lists it as uncharacterized. Lineage: Eukaryota; Metazoa; Chordata; Actinopteri; Perciformes; Percidae. The transcript is spliced from 3 exons. The record is from RefSeq and is a predicted model, not a curated record.